RNAcentral lists this ribosomal RNA (453 nucleotides) under uncultured bacterium. Its description in RNAcentral is "bacterial SSU rRNA". It matches the Rfam family "Bacterial small subunit ribosomal RNA", at positions 43 to 524 of the family's 1533-position model. The record is from RNAcentral.
CAGGCCUAACACAUGCAAGUCGAACGCCCGGGGCGACCCGGGAGUGGCAGACGGGUGAGUAACGCGUGGGAACGUGCCCUCUGGUUCGGAACAACCCCUGGAAACGGGGGCUAAGACCGGAUACGCCGGCGCCCUGAGAGGGGUGUCGGGAAAGGCCUUGGUUGCCGGAGGAGCGGCCCGCGUCCGAUUAGCUUGAUGGCGGGGUAACGGCCCACCAUGGCAUCGAUCGGUAGCUGGUCUGAGAGGAUGGCCAGCCACAUUGGGACUGGGACACGGCCCAAACUCCUACGGGAGGCAGCAGUGGGGAAUAUUGGACAAUGGGCGCAAGCCUGAUCCAGCCAUGCCGCGUGAGUGAUGACGGCCUUAGGGUUGUAAAGCUCUCUCGCCCGCGACGAUAAUGACGGUAGCGGGAGAAGAAGCCCCGGCUAACUUCGUGCCAGCAGCCGCGGUAAU